Molecule: ribosomal RNA, 466 nt
Filed under: uncultured Acidobacteriota bacterium
Lineage: Bacteria; Pseudomonadati; Acidobacteriota
Description: bacterial SSU rRNA
Rfam family: Bacterial small subunit ribosomal RNA
Source: RNAcentral
GAGGGGUCCGCGCCUGAUUAGCUAGUUGGCGAGGUAAUGGCUCACCAAGGCUUCGAUCAGUAGCCGUCCUGAGAGGGAGCACGGCCACACUGGAACUGAGACACGGUCCAGACUCCUACGGGAGGCAGCAGUGGGGAAUUUUUGGCAAUGGGCGCAAGCCUGACCAAGCAACGCCGCGUGGGUGAUGAAGUAUCUCGGUACGUAAAACCCUUUUGGCAGGGACGAACCCAAUGACGGUACCUGCAGAAGAAGCCCCGGCUAACUCCGUGCCAGCAGCCGCGGUAAUACGGGGGGGGCAAGCGUUGUUCGGAAUUACUGGGCGUAAAGGGCGCGUAGGCGGUUGGACAAGUCAGCUGUGAAAACCUCGGGCUUAACUCGAGGCCUGCAGUUGAAACUGUCUGGCUAGAGUGUGGGAGAGGAGGGUGGAAUUCCCGGUGUAGCGGUGAAAUGCGUAGAUAUCGGGAGG